GAUUUCUCAGACUCUCAUAGCACUAUUGCAAAAAAGGGUCCCAGGAGGGUCUGUAAUGAGAGUAGACUGGAGUUGGUUAAGCUCCUGCUGUGUUCCUUCAUGUUUGUACUCAAGGACUUUCUCAGGAAAGAUACUGUACUGAGAGAGCUGUUGGUAUGCUAAAGCUAGAGAAAGACAAACCAUCUUCUAAAUGAGACAAUAUAACUCAGACAGUACAACAAUGGACACAGACACCUGCUAACCAGAAGAUUAAAGCUACAAGCCAGAGGCUGAAGAGUUUUGGUAUCACAAGUUUACUGUUAGUGUGUGUCACUGAAGUAAUAGAAAAUGCAAGCUCUGUGGCAAAGCACAAUUAUGCCUGGAAUUUCUCCUCCUCUGCAACAGUGAUAAUUUCGUAUUCAAAUCUUCAAACAAGCGUCAGGACCACUGUUACAAUACAAGCAAGCUCUCUCAACAACAGGGUUUCCAUGCCUGGGGAAACAAAGGUCAGCAUGGUAAAAGUCAGUCUUCUGCAUAGCUACAGCCUUCAACUUGCCCUAGUUGAUAACUGCUGAAGGGAAAAGCAUCAAUAUUAGUGAGAAAUAAUGCAGUGAAAGGCGUUGAAUUCUCAGGCCUGUAAAAUGAAUUAAAAAAAAACAAAACCCCCUAUAUAGCACCUUUCAGCAGAGGGUGUCAGAGCAUUGCACGGACAUUUAUCAGGCCUCAUUAAACCCCAGUGAAAUAGUUAUUCCUCUUUUUUACAGGUGGGGAAACUGAGGCAAAGAGAUUUGCUGAGUAUUACACAGCAAGUCAGUGAUAUUGGGAACAGAACCCUUUGUUCCCAGUCAGCUGCUCUAGUCACAAGAUCACAUUCUGUGCACCAUAAGAGCUCCAGCAGGGACAGCAUCAAUCUAAGAAAAUGAGGGAGACUGUAGGACUGUGACUUGACCUGAAGGAUCUACCUUGGAGAAGAGAGUUUGUU
Mauremys mutica (yellowpond turtle) is the source of this 961-nucleotide long non-coding RNA. RefSeq lists it as uncharacterized. NCBI's taxonomy places the organism in Eukaryota, Metazoa, Chordata, Testudines, Geoemydidae. The transcript is spliced from 3 exons. The record is from RefSeq and is a predicted model, not a curated record.